Molecule: long non-coding RNA, 782 nt
Filed under: Homo sapiens (human)
Lineage: Eukaryota; Metazoa; Chordata; Mammalia; Primates; Hominidae
Description: HSALNT0122153
Source: RNAcentral
CUUCUGAGUCACACUCCCACUCUAGGAGCUGAGCAGUCAGUGGAAGGGAGGCAGCAGCCUCUCCUGGCAUGGAACUCUCACCUCAUAAGCGGUGAGAAGGGCUGUCAGGACCCCAGUAUUCUCAGCAUGCCACACCCGAAGUAGAGUCCACUUUCCACAAGUGGGGGCUAAGUGGAAGAAGGGAGCCCCACCUCAACCAGACUCACCCAGGACUUACUUCCACAACAGGCAGCUGGGAGCAGGAUGAGAUAUGCUGAAGUACUCCGUCCUCCCAGUAAGAAAGCCCUCUGACCGGGAGAUGGAAGAAAAGAAGCCUGUGUUCUUGGCAACACCAGUCUGGUGUGGAGUCCACCUCCCUUUGCUGGAAUGUUUCUUUCUUUUUUUUUUUUGAAACAGAGUCUCACUCCAUCACCCAGGCUGGAGUGCAGUGGCAGGAUCUCGGCUCACUGCAACGAACCUCCGCCUCCAGGGUUCAAGCAAUUCUCCUGCCUCAGCCUCCCUAGUAGGUAGGAUUACAGGUGUGCAUCACCAUACCCAACUAAUUUUUGUAUUUUUUUUAAGUAGAGAUGGAUUUUCACCAUGUUAGCCAGGCUGGUCUCGAACUCCUGAUCUCAAGUGAUCCGCCCACCUUGGCCUCCCAAAAUGCUGGGAUUACAGGCGUGAGCCACCACAUCCAGCCUUGAACAGAUGUUUCUUCAUUUGCUGUUUGCCCUUCAGACCAUUUCCAGAAGCUUUAAUUUGUUCUCUCUUUCACUUUUAUUUUGUUGGGCCCUUUCUUUUUU